AUUGAACGCUGGCGGCAUGCCUUACACAUGCCAGUCGAACGGUAACAGGUUAAGCUGCCGAGUGGCGAACGGGUGAGUAAUGUAUCGGAACGUGCUCAGUCGUGGGGGAUAACUGCUCGAAAGAGCAGCUAAUACCGCAUACGACCUGAGGGUGAAAGCGGGGGAUCGCAAGACCUCGCGCGAUUGGAGCGGCCGAUAUCAGAUUAGGUAGUUGGUGAGGUAAAGGCUCACCAAGCCGACGAUCUGUAGCUGGUCUGAGAGGACGACCAGCCACACUGGGACUGAGACACGGCCCAGACUCCUACGGGAGGCAGCAGUGGGGAAUUUUGGACAAUGGGCGCAAGCCUGAUCCAGCCAUGCCGCGUGCGGGAAGAAGGCCUUCGGGUUGUAAACCGCUUUUGUCAGGGAAGAAAAGGUUCUGGCUAAUACCUGGGACUCAUGACGGUACCUGAAGAAUAAGCACCGGCUAACUACGUG
RNAcentral lists this ribosomal RNA (477 nucleotides) under uncultured bacterium. RNAcentral describes it as "partial 16S ribosomal RNA". It matches the Rfam family "Bacterial small subunit ribosomal RNA", at positions 30 to 507 of the family's 1533-position model. The record is from RNAcentral.